GAACAUUAUGCCUGGAAUGGUUUAUGUUUCAAAUAAUUUAUUGCCGUAGGAUGGGACUGCGGCCUAUCAGUUUGUUGGUGAGGUAAUGGCCCACCAAGACUAUUACAGGUACGGGCUCUGAGAGGAGUAGCCCGGAGAUGGGUACUGAGACACGGACCCAGGCCCUAUGGGGCGCAGCAGGCGAGAAAACUUUGCAAUGUGCGAAAGCACGACAAGGUUAAUCCGAGUGGUUUCUGCUAAAGGAACCUUUUGUCAGUCCUAGAAGCACUGAUGAAUAAGGGGUGGGCAAGUUCUGGUGUCAGCCGCCGCGGUAAAACCAGCACCUCAAGUGGUCAGGAUGAUUAUUGGGCCUAAAGCAUCCGUAGCCUGCUUUGUAAGUUUUCGGUUAAAUCCAUACGCUCAACGUAUGGGCUGCCGGGAAUACUGCAAAGCUAGGGAGUGGGAGAGGUAGACGGUACUCGGUAGGAAGGGGUAAAAUCCUUUGAUCUAUUGAUGACCACCUGUGGCGAAGGCGGUCUACCAGAACACGUCCGACGGUGAGGGAUGAAAGCUGGGGGAGCAAACCGGAUUAGAUACCCGGGUAGUCCCAGCUGUAAACUAUGCAAACUCAGUGAUGCAUUGGCUUGAUGCCAAUGCAGUGCUGCAGGGAAGCCGUUAAGUUUGCCGCCU
This 669-nucleotide ribosomal RNA is filed under the name uncultured archaeon. RNAcentral's name for it is "bacterial SSU rRNA". It matches the Rfam family "Archaeal small subunit ribosomal RNA", at positions 156 to 829 of the family's 1478-position model. The record is from RNAcentral.